This 400-nucleotide ribosomal RNA is filed under the name uncultured bacterium. Its description in RNAcentral is "bacterial SSU rRNA". It matches the Rfam family "Bacterial small subunit ribosomal RNA", at positions 767 to 1166 of the family's 1533-position model. The record is from RNAcentral.
AGCAAAUAGAUACCCAGGUAGUCCACGCGGUAAACGAUGAAUACUAGGCGUAGGUGGAGUGAAAAUCCAUCUGUGCCGCAGCAAACGCGAUAAGUAUUCCGCCUGGGGAGUACGGCCGCAAGGCUAAAACUCAAAGGAAUUGACGGGGGCCCGGCCACAAGCAGCGGAGCGUGUGGUUUAAGUUUACGUAUGCAACACGAAGAACCUUACCCUGGGUUUGGUACAUCUGCGUAGUAGUGAACCGAAACGGGGAACGGACUCUUCGGUAGAGCGCGGACGAGGUGCUGCAUGGCUGUCGUCAGCUCGUGUCGUGAGAUGUUGGGUUAAGUACCCGCAACGAGCGCAACCCCUACUUGCCAGUUACUAAGUAGUCUGGCGAGACUGCCGGUACGAAAACCGG